AUGGGGGGCGCGCGGGGAGUGCAGGCCCGCCCCUCCCCUCCCCUGCCCUCCCCUCCCGUCCACCCUUUCCCUCCCCUGCUGUCCCUUUCUCCCUCACUUCCCGUCUCCUACCCUCCCCUCCCUCUCCCCCUCCCUCUCCCCUCCCUCUCCCCCUCCCUCUCCCCCUCUCCCUCCUCCUCCCUCCCCCGCUUCUCCCGUUCUCCCCUCCCUCCCCUCGACAAGCUCGUCGGGGGCGGGGCAGGCAGCUCCCGCGCGCUCCGGCCCCUCCUUGGCCACACAAAGGCCCCGUCUCCAUGGCAGCAGCGCGGGCCAGAGCGCAGCGCGGAGCGCGGCCCGGGCGCCAUCGAGCCUCGGCGGCGGACGUGCAGGUACCGAGCUCGGGGGACGGGGCUGCGGGGAACGUCGCGCGGGGCAGGGGGGCGUUUCGCCGUCAGCUCCGCUUCACCCUGGCCUGCCGCUCUUGGGCCUGGGCACCUGCGGCGGCUGCGGCUCCGCGGAGGGUUCCCGGGGCCUGGGCCCCGUCCGUCUGUCCAUCCGGCGAGGCCCGGGCCACUCCCGCCCCGCGCCCUUCCCCGUGGGGACUCGGGGGACGGGCCCGGCCGGCGGGUCCUCCGCGUCUCUCUGGAGCCGCAUCGGAUCCCUCCUCUGCCCCUACCCCUCACUUUUCAGCCACCGAGCUCCGUGAGCGGAGCGGAGACGGUCCCUGCGGUGCGGGCGCUCCGGGCUGGCCCCAGGCUCAGCGGCACCGGUGCGUGGCUUUGCCCGACCUCCCGGGGGCCCGACACGCACCCCUGGGGCCUGCUUGGCGCGGGGGGACCAGGGCGGAGAGCACCCGCACCUGGCGAGACCCCACGGCCUGGGCCUCCUCGCAGUUCCUGGGGUGGCACAGAAAGUCUUAGAAUCGGGGGCGCGGGCCCUGCCUAUCCCCUGCUGACCCUGACCCUCUGCAUCCUGCUCUACAUGAAGCGGCUGCCCUGCCAGUCCUCUUGGUCGGGCUGUUCGGCAGAUCUGGGGAGCCCAACUCCCCCUGUCACCUGGCGUUCUCACAGCCCGGGAGCCCUGGAGCUUCCUGCUAGGCCCUUGACUUCUCUUCCCGAAGGUCCUUGGGAAAGGAAGAAUUAG
This 1122-nucleotide long non-coding RNA is filed under the name Callithrix jacchus (white-tufted-ear marmoset). Its description in RNAcentral is "lncRNA (ENSCJAG00000072732.1)". Lineage: Eukaryota; Metazoa; Chordata; Mammalia; Primates; Cebidae. The record is from RNAcentral.